Molecule: non-coding RNA, 69 nt
Organism: Sander lucioperca (pikeperch)
Lineage: Eukaryota; Metazoa; Chordata; Actinopteri; Perciformes; Percidae
Source: Ensembl
GUAGAUAUAGUUUAACAAAAACACUAGAUUGUGAUUCUAGAAACAGAGGUUAAAAUCCCCUUAUCCACC